GUAUAUUAAAGUUGUUGCAGUUAAAAAGCUCGUAGUUGAACUUCGGGAUUUGUCCAUUGGUCAGGCUUAUCAGUCUGCACUGGUGUGACGAAUUCCUACCUUCUGAGGAAUUUUCAUGCCAUUAAGUUGGUGUGGGGAGGAAUCAGGACUGUUACUUUGAAAAAAUUAGAGUGUUUAAAGCAGGCUAACGUCUGAAUACAUUAGCAUGGAAUAACAAUAUAGGACGGCUGGUCCUAUUUUGUUGGUUUCUAGGAUCACCGUAAUGAUUAAUAGGGAUAGUUGGGGGCAUUAGUAUUCAAUUGUCAGAGGUGAAAUUCUUGGAUUUAUUGAAGACUAACUACUGCGAAAGCAUUUGCCAAGGAUGUUUUCAUUAAUCAAGAACGAAAGUUAGGGGAUCGAAGACGAUCAGAUACCGUCGUAGUCUUAACCAUAAACUAUGCCGACUAGGGAUCGGACGAAGUUAAUUUUUAAA
Molecule: ribosomal RNA, 472 nt
Filed under: Redeckera sp. 1 RJ-2015
Lineage: Eukaryota; Fungi; Glomeromycota; Glomeromycetes; Diversisporales; Diversisporaceae
Description: SSU rRNA
Rfam family: Eukaryotic small subunit ribosomal RNA
Source: RNAcentral